Molecule: ribosomal RNA, 368 nt
Filed under: uncultured organism
Description: bacterial LSU rRNA
Rfam family: Bacterial large subunit ribosomal RNA
Source: RNAcentral
CUUUACUGUAACCUGGAAUUGGGUUCGGGCUUUGCUUGCGCAGGAUAGGUGGGAGACUAUGAAGCUGCCCUUGUGGGGGCAGUGGAGUCAUCAGUGAGAUACCACUCUGUCAAGGCUAGAAUUCUAACCGUCUGCCGUUAUCCGGCGACGGAACAGUAUCAGGUGGGCAGUUUGACUGGGGCGGUCGCCUCCUAAAUGGUAACGGAGGCGCGCAAAGGUUCCCUCAGGCUGGUUGGAAAUCAGCCGAGGAGUGUAAAGGCAGAAGGGAGCUUGACUGCAAGAGCAACAACUCAAGCAGGGACGAAAGUCGGCCUUAGUGAUCCGACGGUAUGCGCGUGGAAGUGCCGUCGCUCAACGGAUAAAAGUUA